RNAcentral lists this ribosomal RNA (200 nucleotides) under uncultured bacterium. Its description in RNAcentral is "partial 16S ribosomal RNA". It matches the Rfam family "Bacterial small subunit ribosomal RNA", at positions 8 to 217 of the family's 1533-position model. The record is from RNAcentral.
AGAGUUUGAUCAUGGCUCAGAACGAACGCUGGCGGCAUGCCUAACACAUGCAAGUCGAACGCUUUCCGGUUUCGGCCGGGAGGAGUGGCGCACGGGUGAGUAACGCGUGGGAACCUGCCCUCUUGUGGGGGAUAACCGAGGGAAACUUCGGCUAAUACCGCAUACGCCCGCGGGCUUGACCCGCGGGGAAAGAUUUAUCG